GCCAUCCAGAUAUGUUGUCUCUAUGUGGCGGAUGGCAGGCAACGAGAUUCUCUCUCGGCUAAAGCAUAU
This 69-nucleotide ribozyme is filed under the name unclassified sequences. RNAcentral describes it as "HDV ribozyme from F. prausnitzii". It matches the Rfam family "HDV ribozyme from F. prausnitzii". The record is from RNAcentral.